Molecule: transfer RNA, 60 nt
Filed under: Cricetulus griseus (Chinese hamster)
Lineage: Eukaryota; Metazoa; Chordata; Mammalia; Rodentia; Cricetidae
Rfam family: tRNA
About the family: Transfer RNA (tRNA) molecules are approximately 80 nucleotides in length. Their secondary structure includes four short double-helical elements and three loops (D, anti-codon, and T loops).
Source: Rfam by way of RNAcentral
AUGGCUCAUUCAGUAGAGUGCUUGCCUUGCAAGCAUAAGGACCUGAGUUUGAUCCUCAGU